GACGAACGCUGGCGGCGUGCUUAACACAUGCAAGUCGAACGGAAAGGCCCUGCUUUUGUGGGGUGCUCGAGUGGCGAACGGGUGAGUAACACGUGAGUAACCUGCCCUUGACUUUGGGAUAACUUCAGGAAACUGGGGCUAAUACCGGAUAGGAGCUCCUGCUGCAUGGUGGGGGUUGGAAAGUUUCGGCGGUUGGGGAUGGACUCGCGGCUUAUCAGCUUGUUGGUGGGGUAGUGGCUUACCAAGGCUUUGACGGAUAGCCGGCCUGGGAGGGUGACCGGCCACAUUGGGCCUGAGAUACGGCCCAGACUCCUACGGGAGGCAGCAGUGGGGAAUAUUGCACAAUGGGCGGAAGCCUGAUGCAGCAACGCCGCGUGCGGGAUGACGGCCUUCGGGUUGUAAACCGCUUUCGCCUGUGACGAAGCGUGAGUGACGGUAAUGGGUAAAGAAGCACCGGCUAACUACGUG
This 468-nucleotide ribosomal RNA is filed under the name uncultured bacterium. RNAcentral's name for it is "partial 16S ribosomal RNA". It matches the Rfam family "Bacterial small subunit ribosomal RNA", at positions 28 to 507 of the family's 1533-position model. The record is from RNAcentral.